This 1350-nucleotide ribosomal RNA is filed under the name Lactiplantibacillus plantarum. Its description in RNAcentral is "bacterial SSU rRNA". It matches the Rfam family "Bacterial small subunit ribosomal RNA", at positions 82 to 1419 of the family's 1533-position model. Lineage: Bacteria; Bacillati; Bacillota; Bacilli; Lactobacillales; Lactobacillaceae. The record is from RNAcentral.
UACAUUUGAGUGAGUGGCGAACUGGUGAGUAACACGUGGGAAACCUGCCCAGAAGCGGGGGAUAACACCUGGAAACAGAUGCUAAUACCGCAUAACAACUUGGACCGCAUGGUCCGAGUUUGAAAGAUGGCUUCGGCUAUCACUUUUGGAUGGUCCCGCGGCGUAUUAGCUAGAUGGUGRGGUAACGGCUCACCAUGGCAAUGAUACGUAGCCGACCUGAGAGGGUAAUCGGCCACAUUGGGACUGAGACACGGCCCAAACUCCUACGGGAGGCAGCAGUAGGGAAUCUUCCACAAUGGACGAAAGUCUGAUGGAGCAACGCCGCGUGAGUGAAGAAGGGUUUCGGCUCGUAAAACUCUGUUGUUAAAGAAGAACAUAUCUGAGAGUAACUGUUCAGGUAUUGACGGUAUUUAACCAGAAAGCCACGGCUAACUACGUGCCAGCAGCCGCGGUAAUACGUAGGUGGCAAGCGUUGUCCGGAUUUAUUGGGCGUAAAGCGAGCGCAGGCGGUUUUUUAAGUCUGAUGUGAAAGCCUUCGGCUCAACCGAAGAAGUGCAUCGGAAACUGGGAAACUUGAGUGCAGAAGAGGACAGUGGAACUCCAUGUGUAGCGGUGAAAUGCGUAGAUAUAUGGAAGAACACCAGUGGCGAAGGCGGCUGUCUGGUCUGUAACUGACGCUGAGGCUCGAAAGUAUGGGUAGCAAACAGGAUUAGAUACCCUGGUAGUCCAUACCGUAAACGAUGAAUGCUAAGUGUUGGAGGGUUUCCGCCCUUCAGUGCUGCAGCUAACGCAUUAAGCAUUCCGCCUGGGGAGUACGGCCGCAAGGCUGAAACUCAAAGGAAUUGACGGGGGCCCGCACAAGCGGUGGAGCAUGUGGUUUAAUUCGAAGCUACGCGAAGAACCUUACCAGGUCUUGACAUACUAUGCAAAUCUAAGAGAUUAGACGUUCCCUUCGGGGACAUGGAUACAGGUGGUGCAUGGUUGUCGUCAGCUCGUGUCGUGAGAUGUUGGGUUAAGUCCCGCAACGAGCGCAACCCUUAUUAUCAGUUGCCAGCAUUAAGUUGGGCACUCUGGUGAGACUGCCGGUGACAAACCGGAGGAAGGUGGGGAUGACGUCAAAUCAUCAUGCCCCUUAUGACCUGGGCUACACACGUGCUACAAUGGAUGGUACAACGAGUUGCGAACUCGCGAGAGUAAGCUAAUCUCUUAAAGCCAUUCUCAGUUCGGAUUGUAGGCUGCAACUCGCCUACAUGAAGUCGGAAUCGCUAGUAAUCGCGGAUCAGCAUGCCGCGGUGAAUACGUUCCCGGGCCUUGUACACACCGCCCGUCACACCAUGAGAGUUUGUAACA